GACGAACGCUGGCGGCGUGCUUAACACAUGCAAGUCGAACGGAAAGGCCCUGCUUUUGUGGGGUGCUCGAGUGGCGAACGGGUGAGUAACACGUGAGUAACCUGCCCUUGACUUUGGGAUAACUUCAGGAAACUGGGGCUAAUACCGGAUAGGAGCUCCUGCUGCAUGGUGGGGGUUGGAAAGUUUCGGCGGUUGGGGAUGGACUCGCGGCUUAUCAGCUUGUUGGUGGGGUAGUGGCUUACCAAGGCUUUGACGGGUAGCCGGCCUGAGAGGGUGACCGGCCCCCUUGGGCCUGAGAUACGGCGCAGACUCCUACGGGAGGCAGCAGUGGGGAAUAUUGCACAAUGGGCGGAAGCCUGAUGCAGCAACGCCGCGUGCGGGAUGACGGCCUUCGGGUUGUAAACCGCUUUCGCCUGUGACGAAGCGUGAGUGACGGUAAUGGGUAAAGAAGCACCGGCUAACUACGUG
RNAcentral lists this ribosomal RNA (468 nucleotides) under uncultured bacterium. RNAcentral describes it as "partial 16S ribosomal RNA". It matches the Rfam family "Bacterial small subunit ribosomal RNA", at positions 28 to 507 of the family's 1533-position model. The record is from RNAcentral.